RNAcentral lists this ribosomal RNA (468 nucleotides) under uncultured bacterium. RNAcentral describes it as "partial 16S ribosomal RNA". It matches the Rfam family "Bacterial small subunit ribosomal RNA", at positions 28 to 507 of the family's 1533-position model. The record is from RNAcentral.
GACGAACGCUGGCGGCGUGCUUAACACAUGCAAGUCGAACGGAAAGGCCCUGCGUUUGUGGGGUGCUCGAGUGGCGAACGGGUGAGUAACACGUGAGUAACCUGCCCUUGACUUUGGGAUAACUUCAGGAAACUGGGGCUAAUACCGGAUAGGAGCUCCUGCUGCAUGGUGGGGGUUGGAAAGUUUCGGCGGUUGGGGAUGGACUCGCGGCUUAUCAGCUUGUUGGUGGGGUAGUUGCUUACCAAGGCUUUGACGGGUAGCCGGCCUGAGAGGGUGACCGGCCACAUUGGGACUGAGAUACGGCCCAGAAUCCUACGGGAGGCAGCAGUGGGGAAUCUUGCACAAUGGGCGGAAGCCUGAUGCAGCAACGCCGCGUGCGGGAUGACGGCCUUCGGGUUGUAAACCGCUUUCGCCUGUGACGAAGCGUGAGUGACGGUAAUGGGUAAAGAAGCACCGGCUAACUACGUG